GUUCAAGCCCCUCCAAAGAAGACAAGAAGUUGGUUCAAGGGUCGAGAUUGAAAAAUGAGGAACUGGAAUCCCGUCUUUUCCCUCACCAGAAACUACUUCGAGAUUGAAAAAUGACCUAAAAGCAAUGCUUCAGGCCAUAUACAUUGCUGGUCAUGCCACAGAAUCCUUUACUGAAUUUGCUGUGGGACACGGAGAGUUAUGGUUUUCAUAGAUGUUGUCUUUUGUAAUUAAGAAAGUACAUUGUAUAAUUGAGAAACGUCUGCAUUGUGUUUUAAUAUGAAUGUGCUGACGGAAGCUGCUUCCCUCUUACUGAACAAAUCUGUUCUAUUGAGAUACCAUCCCUCUAUAUGUUUCCCUUUACUGUCUAUAUAUGUCCAAUCUCAAUAUAUUAAUGUAUUGUAUGUUGUAAGUAAUAUUAAAUCUGUAUCCAUAAGGAAUUAGGAUUUGAUCAAAAUUACAAGUUGGGCUUUUAGAUCGUGAAAAGGCAGAAUUGAAGGGAAGUGAAAAUAUUAUAUUCCCGGGGAGCGGGUUUGUUAGUAUAUAAAUGAGGAUCAUUUCAGGGGCGUUGGGGUGCGUUGUGUGAUUAGAGGUUUUGUGUUUGAUUAGAGGUUUUGUUAGUAUAUAAAUGAUUUUGUUAUUGUUGAUUUCAGAGAAGAUUUUCGAAACUUUGCAAAAGUUUAUUUCAAAUACUUUGGAGAUAGGGUGAAACAUUGGAUUACCCUAAAUGAGCCAUGAUCAUACAGUAAUAAUGGUUAUGCAAUUGUAACCUUUGCACCAGGUCGAUACUCUAAAUUACUAGAUUCAACUUGCUUGGGUGGUGAUUCUGGAACAGAACCUUAUAUAGUUACACAUAAUUUACUACUUGCUCAUGUAUCUGCUGUAGAUGUGUACAAGGAAAAGUUCGAGGUUGGUUUAACCUUAAUGAGAAACUUUCACAUCUUCAUAGUUUGUUAGAUUUCCACAUUGCUACGAGGGUUUAAGUAUUCAUUGCUGAUAAAAAAGAUAUUCUAGUGUAGCUCUUAUAUUAAUUAACGUUCAAAACACUUUACAUAGGAAUGUCAAAUGGGAAAGAUAGGCAUAACAUUAAUUACUCAUUGGUUUGAAUCAUUUUCGAAUACCCCAUCAGAUACAGCUCCUGCCGAAUGAGCACUUGACUUCAUGUUUGGAUGGUACAUGGAACCAUUAACGUCAAGAAAAUAUCCAGUGAGCAUGUGUGACUUAGUUGGUAAUCAAUUGCCAGAAUUCAGUGAAAAAGAAUCAGAACUUCUUGCUGAUUCAAUAUAUUUUCUUGGACUAAACUAUUACACCACUUACUAUGCUACCGAUGCACCCAAAGCCAGUCAACCAAGUUAUACAACAGAUUCUGAUGGCCAACUAUUAAGUAAGGAAAUUUUUAUCUAUCAAUUAUUUAGGCUGUGUGUUGAUCAAUAUUUGGAAAUCACACUUAUUUUUGUUUUCAGUUAACUCAACCAGAUUUUCUUACCUGUUUUGAGUUCAUCUGUUUAACCUACAAAGGCUUUGUAUAGACGUUACUGCAUGGAAUAUUGAUUGAUUGUGUUCACAUACCCCUCAGCUUGGACUUCCUGGGUCAAAUUUUCAAGGGCCCAUACCUUUGUAUCAACCUAGAGGAAACAUAGGAUCAUGGGGAGCUUCUCCGCCAGCUCCAAAUGCAAAUGGUGGUAGGCUUGCUAUGCCAAUGUAUUGCAGCAGCCUAUGCAGUAUUACUUUCUAUUCUGCUAAUUUUGAAAAAACUAACCUGGUGAUUGAUGUUGUUAUCAUUUUGGUGUUAUUUGAUUAUUUAGUAAUUAUUACUUUUCGAUUUGUUUCAAUCAUUCUGUGAUAAUGGAACAGGUAUUUGGAUAGUUGUUUUUUGUUUGAGAAGAUUCGCUGGUUCCAUAAUAGUUCAUUUGGCUAAUUUUAUUUUAUUUUUUCUAUACUGGAUGACCUAGACCUAUUUCAAAAAGUGUCUUGACAAUAGGUGGGGAAACUCUUCUCAUAAUAUAUGGUCUGCAUAUGGCAUACAAAGAUUGUGACUGUUCUGUCUCCCUUGUUUUAAUAGAUGGAACACUCCUCACCAAAAUAGAGCGAUAUCUGAAACAAGGAAUUGUAGAUAAGAAUCCAAUUGUUGCAAGUGCAUCCUUAGUUAGCGGCAUUCAUCUGCUUCAGUAGAUGUUGGGCUGAUGCCAAUGAAGCUGUUGUCAUUCUUCAUCCAUCAAAUAUUAUUGUUUUUACUCUUGACUUCUCGGGGGUCGAUCAGGCUAUGUUAGCUUUGGUUGGCAUGAAGUAAGUUUACCUAUUAAUGUAAACUUAAUUUAUCAUGUAUAUUUUCACCUUUGAAUCCUCCUCUUCUAUUUGCUGUUAACAAGAGAGAUAUUGUUAUAAGAAAUUUUA
Long non-coding RNA from Vigna angularis (adzuki bean), 2391 nucleotides. RefSeq lists it as uncharacterized. The record is from RefSeq and is a predicted model, not a curated record. The transcript has 5 exons. Lineage: Eukaryota; Viridiplantae; Streptophyta; Magnoliopsida; Fabales; Fabaceae.